Orcinus orca (killer whale) is the source of this 759-nucleotide long non-coding RNA. RefSeq lists it as uncharacterized. The transcript is spliced from 2 exons. Lineage: Eukaryota; Metazoa; Chordata; Mammalia; Artiodactyla; Delphinidae. The record is from RefSeq and is a predicted model, not a curated record.
UCCCAUCUCUCUGCCAAAGUUGAACUACUUUGCCGUCUGGCAGUCCCAAGCCUCGAAACUGGAACAGUUUCCUUGGUCAGAGAGAAAGACCCAGAGGAGUUUGCCUGCAACACUCAUACGACUUUGACACGAUCUGGCAACUGCUUUGAAGGCAGAGGAUGUUCUGGCCCUUUAAUAGAUUCCCAAGAGGAAAUGCUGGACCAAUGGAGACAGCCAGUCAUAUCUCUCUCCCAUCGUUUGGGAUAUAUUUAUUUUUUGUUGCUCUGUUCUUUAAUAGAGACAUGGCAAUCAAACUAGCAUACUUUUAAACACAGAGACUUUUCCCAGGAAAUUUGCAAACACUGCAUGUUUUCUUUCUUACUACAUAUGGUCUAUCUUCUGGGAAAGGACACAAGGAUCUUUAUAAGAAAAGCAACAAUCGCUACAGCCUAUUAACUCUGCAUUCUAGAAAAAAGAAAAAAGUAGAAAAGAAAAAGAAAUGACAUGGAAAGCGUGGGAUUCCUCAGGAGAGCCUCAGCGGAUGAGGAGAAAUGACCGGUCUGCCUUCCUAGCAGCCCACCCCCAGCUCAACCAGAGAAGGUUAGCUUCUGUUAGAGUUUUGCAUACAAUUUAAUUCACAAAAAAGCAUUCAGUAACCUUAAAAACUGGAAAACUGUUCCACUCCACAAAUUAUUUCUUUACUCCUACUUUUUCCAGCAGUCUAUCCUUGGUUAAGACAAAGCCUUCCCUCACUCCUGCCCUGGCUUUUUUUUUUUUUUU